This is a non-coding RNA of Punica granatum (pomegranate), 1301 nucleotides long. The record is from RefSeq and is a predicted model, not a curated record. NCBI's taxonomy places the organism in Eukaryota, Viridiplantae, Streptophyta, Magnoliopsida, Myrtales, Lythraceae.
UUAAAAAAAAAUUAAGCCAGAUAGAGUGACCAAUUACGUUACUAUCUCCAUGCACAAACCCGAAGCCUUGCCAGAAACAAGAAACUCAAUUCUAUUUCUUCAUCCGUUCCAAUUCCACCCGAUACAAAAACUUUGGCACCCUCGGCUUCCAUAUUCUGAAAUUAUUUUCCUUGAUCUUGAUUCUUGACCAUGGACGCCAUUCAAGGAGCUUACGAGCCAAUCAGUCUUCCCACCUGUCUCAGCUUCAGAACAUCCCUCCGGAAGGUCCGGUCCAUCAAAUUCUCAGGCGGAGGCUGGUUGGGCAAUUCUACGAGGUUGCGGGGUGGUUAUCAUGACAUACCGAGAUUUUCUGUCCGGGUCAAGGCAGCGAUGCCAGAGGAUGCAAGAAUCUCUCUUGUCAAUGGACACACUGAAACUGGUGCAGGUAAAAGUGUGCGCGAUUUGUCUAAUAUCGGGAACUCGACAAACAUCAGGUGGCAUGACUGUCCGGUUAGAAAAGUAGACAGGCAGGAGCUACUUCAACAGAAAGGUUGUGUUAUUUGGAUCACUGGUCUUAGCGGUUCAGGAAAGAGCACUUUGGCAUGUGCCCUGAGUCGAAGCCUGCAUUCAAGGGGGAAACUGACAUACGUCCUUGAUGGGGACAAUGUCCGGCAUGGCUUGAAUCGGGACCUUAGCUUUAACCCAGAGGAUCGAGCUGAGAACAUAAGGAGAAUAGGUGAAGUAGCUAAGCUUUUUGCUGAUGCGGGAUUGAUCUGUAUUGCAAGCCUUAUAUCCCCCUUCAGGAAGGACCGUGCCGCAUGCCGUGCACUGCUGCCUGAAGGGGAUUUCAUUGAGCCUCACAGGUGUUCAUGGAUGUGCCGGUCGAAGUAUGUGAGGCAAGAGACCCGAAAGGGCUGUAUAAGCUUGCCCGAGCGGGAAAGAUAAAAAGUUUUACGGGCAUUGAUGAUCCCUAUGAACCACCGGCAGAUUGCGAGAUAGUGCUUCAAUUGAAGGAACAGGGCUGCACUUCUCCAAGCGAAAUGGCUGAAAUCGUCCGGUCUUAUCUGGAGGAGAAAGGCUACUUGCGGACAUGAACAAGAAACCUAGGGCCAGCUUGGCUUGUGAUUCCGGUUCCAGUUCAGAAACCCAGACCACAGCUUCCCGUCAUCUCAGAAUCUGCAUUCUUUUCCAGCUCCUGUAUCUGUUCAAUUUCAUUUUCAUUCAUAGAUUUUCUGCAUUCACAGACUGUGUAGCCCAAGGUUUCUCAAGUCCGAUCAUGAACAACUAAGUAUCCAAUAAUUACAUGAAGGAUGGUUACAAUC